This 253-nucleotide ribosomal RNA is filed under the name uncultured bacterium. Its description in RNAcentral is "partial 16S ribosomal RNA". It matches the Rfam family "Bacterial small subunit ribosomal RNA", at positions 524 to 776 of the family's 1533-position model. The record is from RNAcentral.
GACGAGUCUCACGAACGUUAUUCGGAAUUACUGGGCUUAAAGGGUGCGUAGGCGGUGAAGUAAGUCGGGUGUGAAAUACCAUAGCUUAACUAUGGAACUGCACUCGAUACUACUUUGCUAGAGUAAGACAGAGGUGAGUGGAACUGAGGGUGGAGCGGUGAAAUUCGUAGAUAUUCGCAAGAACACCAGUGGCGAAGGCGGCUCACUGGCCCGAUACUGACGCUGAGGCACGAAAGCGUGGGGAGCAAACAGG